GGCCCCGUCGUCUAGCCUGGUUAGGACAUCAGCUUUUCAAGCUGAGUACACGAGUUCAAAUCUCGUCGGGGCUG
RNAcentral lists this transfer RNA (74 nucleotides) under Candidatus Yanofskyibacteriota bacterium. RNAcentral's name for it is "tRNA-Glu". It matches the Rfam family "tRNA". From Rfam's summary of the family: Transfer RNA (tRNA) molecules are approximately 80 nucleotides in length. Their secondary structure includes four short double-helical elements and three loops (D, anti-codon, and T loops). Further hydrogen bonds mediate the characteristic L-shaped molecular structure. tRNAs have two regions of fundamental functional importance: the anti-codon, which is responsible for specific mRNA codon recognition, and the 3' end, to which the tRNAs corresponding amino acid is attached (by aminoacyl-tRNA synthetases). tRNAs cope with the degeneracy of the genetic code in two manners: having more than one tRNA (with a specific anti-codon) for a particular amino acid; and 'wobble' base-pairing, i.e. permitting non-standard base-pairing at the 3rd anti-codon position. The record is from RNAcentral. Lineage: Bacteria; Candidatus Yanofskyibacteriota.